RNAcentral lists this ribosomal RNA (251 nucleotides) under uncultured bacterium. RNAcentral describes it as "partial 16S ribosomal RNA". It matches the Rfam family "Bacterial small subunit ribosomal RNA", at positions 524 to 776 of the family's 1533-position model. The record is from RNAcentral.
UACGAAGGGGGCUAGCGUUGUUCGGAAUUACUGGGCGUAAAGCGCGUGUAGGCGGGUCCUUAAGUCAGGGGUGAAAUGCCAAGGCUCAACCUUGGAACUGCCUUUGAUACUGGGGAUCUUGAGUCCGGGAGAGGUGAGUGGAACUGCGAGUGUAGAGGUGAAAUUCGUAGAUAUUCGCAAGAACACCAGUGGCGAAGGCGGCUCACUGGCCCGGAACUGACGCUGAGACGCGAAAGCGUGGGAGCAACAGG